This 1597-nucleotide long non-coding RNA is filed under the name Anas platyrhynchos platyrhynchos (common mallard). Its description in RNAcentral is "lncRNA (ENSAPLG00000029015.1)". The record is from RNAcentral. Lineage: Eukaryota; Metazoa; Chordata; Aves; Anseriformes; Anatidae.
AUUUACCUUCUAAAAACAGAAAUUCCAACUAUGUGAUGAAGGAUUAAGAAGAAUGUAGCCAUUCUGAAGUGUGUUACUUCAAGCACUGCCAAAGUUUGGUAAUCUUUUCUCACCACUUUUAACCAAGUGAGCGAUGUUAUUGGUAGAAAGUUACACAUUCAACCCACAGUUCUCCAGUUCAUCAGCAGUAUUUCUGCUGCUUUAUAACAGUUAAAAAGACUGAACAAGGCCACAGAAACCAUCACAAUAGUAAGAAAACAGGCAUCAUAAAUUGCCUGAAACUUCUGUUUAUUUUAAUGUGAUAAACUCAACAGCAAAGUAAACAGAGUCUGGGGGAAUGUUUCAAUUAAAUGUUAGUGACCUACGUUUAAAAAAUAAGAAAAGCAAUAAAUAGAUGUUGACUGGGUGAUUUCAUGUUCAAGAGUCUACAUGUGUGGGUUUUUUUUUUGAGACUUCUAAGGUGUGACUACUUGAUAUAACAUUAUUAACGACUCACAACAGAAUCCUAAAGAGUAUGGAUGAGAGUUUGGGCACAGGGAUUUAAAUCCAUUUAUUUAAUCUUUGAAAGUUGGGUUAUUUUCCUUUGCCUAUGGUCAGUCAUAGAAAUCUCUGACAGUUUUCUUAGAUCUCUCUUAUAUGGUCAGCAUCUUGGUGAGGUAUCUGCAGACCUAGUCUAUCUGUGCAGUGACACACAAUCAAGCUGUGCAUCACAAAACAAAGAAAACAGGAGAAAAGUCAAAAGAGAAUUCUAUGCCUUUACUUGCCUGAGCUUUGCUGACAUCACAUUCAGAGAGGGACAGCAUAAGGAGACUGGACUGGAGGAAAUGGCUAUCCAGCAGAGCAAAUUUCCUCUUGGCUUAGGAUUGCCACAGAAUCUAUUCUUGCCUCUGACUAUGUUUGAGGCCUGGCUGGAGUUGGACAAGAACAGAAGUUAAUAUCCAAAGAUACUGCAGUUCUGAGCUGAUGCAUGUAUGUGAGAAAUGUCAGUAAAUUCAAGUUUGUUACCUUUCCCACAUUUGAGCAUUAAUUCUAUUCUUCCCCACCCCCCCCCAAAAAAAAAAAAUCCAAGAGAUCACAAAACUCUGAUUAAACUUCCAUAAAAUAUUUAAUUCUUCCUUGCUCUUUUUACAGAGUGGAAAAAUAUUCCAUUCUUGUAUGUAAAUAUAUGUUAUUACAGUUCUUCAUAGUUAAGAUUUAUUCCUGCUAUAGGUCAAUUGAGCUUAUGUGACUUUCACAGUUAAAGAUGAAUUUGAUCAUUUCUUAUUCUGAACUUCUCUUUUAGAUAUGUUUCUGUAAAUUAAGUCUGCUUGUUUCCUUGCAUCCUGUCAGGGAUGAUAUUGCUCAAUUCAGUUUUCUGAUGUCUUAGAGCUAUACUGGAAGACCACACGAAGAAACAGCUAAUAUCUAAAUGUCAUUUUGAGAAACAGUCUAAUAAUUAUUUUCUUCUUUAGUUUCCGUGUCUACACACCUUUAUUAUGGAUAUUCUGUAAACACAUUUGCACAAGAGAGUACUUGCAUUGGAUUGCAGAAUUUAGAGAUGAUGUCUAUAUAAAACAAUAAGGAUUGGAAGUAUCCAAGAUGUACAGUUCUUCUUCCA